AUUGAACGCUGGCGGCAGGCCUAACACAUGCAAGUCGAGCGGAUGAAGGGAGCUUGCUCCUGGAUUCAGCGGCGGGCGGGUGAGUAAUGCCUAGGAAUCUGCCUGGUAGUGGGGGAUAACGUCCGGAAACGGGCGCUAAUACCGCAUACGUCCUGAGGGAGAAAGUGGGGGAUCUUCGGACCUCACGCUAUCAGAUGAGCCUAGGUCGGAUUAGCUAGUUGGUGGGGUAAAGGCCUACCAAGGCGACGAUCCGUAACUGGUCUGAGAGGAUGAUCAGUCACACUGGAACUGAGACACGGUCCAGACUCCUAAGGGAGGCAGCAGUGGGGAAUAUUGGACAAUGGGCGAAAGCCUGAUCCAGCCAUGCCGCGUGUGUGAAGAAGGUCUUCGGAUUGUAAAGCACUUUAAGUUGGGAGGAAGGGCAGUAAGUUAAUACCUUGCUGUUUUGACGUUACCAACAGAAUAAGCACCGGCUAACUUCGUG
RNAcentral lists this ribosomal RNA (484 nucleotides) under uncultured bacterium. Its description in RNAcentral is "partial 16S ribosomal RNA". It matches the Rfam family "Bacterial small subunit ribosomal RNA", at positions 30 to 507 of the family's 1533-position model. The record is from RNAcentral.